GCGAACGCUGGCGGCAGGCCUAACACAUGCAAGUCGAGCGCCCAGCAAUGGGAGCGGCAGACGGGUGAGUAACGCGUGGGGAUCUGCCCAAUGGUACGGAAUAACCCAGGGAAACUUGGAUUAAUACCGUAUGUGCCCUUCGGGGGAAAGAUUUAUCGCCAUUGGAUGAACCCGCGUCGGAUUAGCUAGUUGGUGUGGUAAAGGCGCACCAAGGCGACGAUCCGUAGCUG
This 230-nucleotide ribosomal RNA is filed under the name Azorhizobium sp. ISOM004_OTU50406. RNAcentral's name for it is "partial 16S ribosomal RNA". It matches the Rfam family "Bacterial small subunit ribosomal RNA", at positions 29 to 289 of the family's 1533-position model. Lineage: Bacteria; Pseudomonadati; Pseudomonadota; Alphaproteobacteria; Hyphomicrobiales; Xanthobacteraceae. The record is from RNAcentral.